This 468-nucleotide ribosomal RNA is filed under the name uncultured bacterium. RNAcentral's name for it is "partial 16S ribosomal RNA". It matches the Rfam family "Bacterial small subunit ribosomal RNA", at positions 28 to 507 of the family's 1533-position model. The record is from RNAcentral.
GACGAACGCUGGCGGCGUGCUUAACACAUGCCAGUCGAACGGAAAGGCCCUGCUGUUGUGGCGUGCUCGAGUGGCGAACGUGUGAGUAACACGUGAUUAACCUGCCCUUGAGUUUGGGAUAACUUCAGGAAACUGGUGCUAAUACCGGAUAGGCGCUCCUGCUGCAUGGUGGGGGUGGGAAAGUUUCGGCGGUUGGGGAUGGACUCGCGGCUUAUCAGCUUGUUGGUGGGGUAGUGGCUUACCAAGGCUUUGACGGGUAGCCGGCCUGAGAGGGUGACCGGCCACACUGGGACUGAGAUACGGCCCAGACUCCUACGGGAGGCAGCAGUGGGGAAUAUUGCACAAUGGGCGGAAGCCUGAUGCAGCAACGCCGCGUGCGGGAUGACGGCCUUCGGGUUGUAAACCGCUUUCGCCUGUGACGAAGCGUGAGUGACGGUAAUGGGUAAAGAAGCACCGGCUAACUACGUG